AUUGAACGCUGGCGGCAGGCCUAACACCUGCCAGUCGAACGAGCGGCGGACGGGUGAGUAAUGUCUGGGGAUCUGCCCGAUGGAGGGGGAUAACUACUGGAAACGGUGGCUAAUACCGCAUACUAUCGGAUGCACCCAUAGGGGAUUAGCUCGUAGGUGGGGUAAAGGCUCACCUAGGCGACGAUCUCUAGCUGGUCUGAGAGGAUGAUCAGCCACACUGGAACUGAGACACGGCCCAGACUCCUACGGGAGGCAGCAGUGGGGAAUAUUGCACAAUGGGCGCAAGCCGGAUGCAGCCAUGCCGCGUGUAUGAAGAAGGCCUUAGGGUUGUAAAGUACUUUCAGCGGGGAGGCGUUACCCGCAGAAGAAGCACCGGCUAACUCCGUGCCAGCAGCCGCGGUAAUAC
Molecule: ribosomal RNA, 406 nt
Filed under: uncultured bacterium
Lineage: Bacteria
Description: partial 16S ribosomal RNA
Rfam family: Bacterial small subunit ribosomal RNA
Source: RNAcentral